UGCUGGAAGCCAAAAUGUUGAAAAUCUUUCAUAUGGUUUUAUUACUGGAAUAUCCAGAUGGGUUGCUUGCAUUGAUUAGAUUCCAUAGGAAAUGAAUAAAACUCUACUUCCUGUUUUGUAUGAUAAUUAUAAAGUGAGUGACGUGACUUCCUUCUCCAGUUCAGAUGAACGUAGGAUAACAUUUUCUUUAAGUGUUAGUAAAAAGGCCAUUUUUCCUUCUACCCAGGCUGUCUUUCACUUUCUCUUUUCCUGCAGUUCUGCAGGCUUGAGAAUGGUGGUGCUACUGUCCCAUUCUUGUUUUCCUGUUGAAAAAAGAUUUAGGGCUUUCACUUCUCUGGAUCAUUAAUAGCAUUUACAGCAAGGUAAAGGAAGAAGAAAGCACCAUUCAAUACCAUGAAUCACGGAACAAGCUGAUGACUUACGAAGGUCAGGGAAGGACCUGCCAGCAUCUUUUCAAUUCAUGUGUGCAGGCAUUCCACAGAUUACUAAGUGCACUGUCACUUUUACAGGGAAGUGUCAGAUAUUAGCCUCAGCUAAGGAGGCAGAAGCUCAUUGUAGCAGAUUGAUCUUUGGAGACAAAUCUGUGCUUAUCUAAUUCAUUUCAGAAAGCUCUCCAAUAUUCCAAAAAGCACAAAUCAGGUCAAGGAAAAUGUGAAUUGACUCUGAAGGAAAAGCACAAAGAGAGUAGAGCUUUACAAGUGAAAGGAGUGGUGAGGUUUCUGUAUCCCCAAAACAUAGGAGUAAAGGAGCUUAUGGGUGUUUUGUAGGCAUAAGUGUAGAAGCAUUACAGAGAGAGACUAAGAGCCCGUACCUAUGCCUGCACAGGCCAAAUGUGCCUCGGGUGGCCCUAAGCAGAAAACAAAGUUACCAUUUCUCCCUUUUAAGGGCUUGCCAUUGCAUCAUCAGUUGGGCCUGGCUCUCUUUCCUCCUCCUUUCUGAGGCUUGAGGGAGAGGAAAGUCCUUCCUGCCUGGGGCGCCCAGAGCUGUCACUUUGGCUCUGGUUCAGUGAAACCUGGCCAUUGACAGGACAGAUGGCUAUGGCAGCAGCCCAUCCCAUCAGCCCUAGAAGCCCUGUUUCUAUUCAGAUCAUGUUCUCAAGUGAUCUUUAGCGGAUCCAUGCUUAAGCAUAGAAACAGAAAGCUUUGGCCAGCUUCUAGUUCCCAUUAGCUUGUCUCUGAGACACCAUGCUUAGUUGUGUGUGUAUCUGAAUUGAGGCAGUCAGUGAUGUACUAGGGCUGAAAUAGUAAUAAUAAUAACAAUUCUGACAGCUUUGAAGGUAGACCCUCCUGCUCAUUUUAAAUCACAGGCGCUGUUCUCUGCUUAGCUCUAUGGAGCAAUAAAAAGAAAAAAAUACAAAAAGGCAGGCUGGGGAGAAGUGUGUUGCUCCUGUGUGGGGGCGGGAUCAUCUGAGGAGUGUUUCCAGGGAACUCUGGCAGGAGGGUUCUUGUUCAUGAAGGAUUUCCCCGGCACUGCGCUGUGGCAGGAUAACAGAUGGGCUUCUCUGUAUUACAGAAGGGAAAAUACCUUUUGUCUUCGCCAAUGCCCUUCACUGCAGGCAAGCAAAUAGGAGGGCCUUGUAAGCACCACUUCUGCUCCUCGAUGCAGCCUCUGUCAUGAGCCAUCAGAUUUUUCUCUGUAAGAAUAGAAAGUCUUUUCACAGUAUUCUCCUCCUGAAAGCUGUCAGCCAUGAAGAGUGCCAUGUCCUUGUUUAGAGACGCAGCUUCUGGAAUGCUUGAGUGAAAAGCCAAAGGCAUUUCAUUUCUGAGGUUGUCAAAAAUAUUCACAGUCUUCCUGCUUGUGCCGAGGAUGCUGACCUCAUUCUCUCCAGAUUUGUACCAUAUGUGGAGACUGGAGACUCCAGGACAUAGGAUUACAGUUUGGAAAGGUCUCCCUUGUUGGAAUGGACUCAGCACACUUAGGAUAAAGCUUAAGGAAAACUCAGCCACUCAUGCAAUUUUGUAAAGGAGUCUGUACCUUUGCUUGCAAUUUUAUAAUUGUCUUGAUUUCUUUUAUUUGUAACCUUACACACCAUUUGCCAGAAAAAUUCAAUAAAACGGAACAACGAGGAAUUCUUACUAUGACUUGACAUCUCCUUUCUUCAACUGACCUCAUCUCUUGCUUGGACCACUGAAGCAGAAGCAGGCUUCUAGCAGCCUCUCUGUUGCCACCAUCUUUCCUUUCCAUCCAUUCUCCAAAAAGCAACCUAAGCGAUCAUCCCAAGGCCCACAAGGCCCUGUAUGAGCAACUUUUGCCUGCCUCUUCAACUACAAAGGUAUAAUUCCUGAAAUAUUAAAAAAAUUUACAGUGA
Long non-coding RNA from Homo sapiens (human), 2308 nucleotides. RefSeq lists it as uncharacterized. The record is from RefSeq and is a predicted model, not a curated record. NCBI's taxonomy places the organism in Eukaryota, Metazoa, Chordata, Mammalia, Primates, Hominidae. The transcript has 2 exons.